AGCCCUAAGAUCUGUGAUGCUGGUAGCUGCAAGGCGUUUCGUUGCAAAGACAACAGCGAGUGCCGCAAAAACUUGAAUUGUGUGUCUGGCUUCUGUCUGUAUCGGGAUGGAGGGUUGCACGAAGACGACAUAUUUCGCAAUAUAGGGAGACCUUGCAAAAUCAGCCCCGAUUGCUACUACGAUAUGGUUUGCCAAAAUGGAUCUUGCCAGCGCAAUCCAAAGUCAUGAAUUGGAAUCGACUGCGGCGUCAAGGCUACAUGCGUUUCAAUGACGACGAUGGAGAUACUUCCAAGGAACGCUACGAUCCUGUAAUCUCAGAAUAAAGAAAAUACCUUACAACCUUA
Long non-coding RNA from Ixodes scapularis (black-legged tick), 344 nucleotides. RefSeq lists it as uncharacterized. The record is from RefSeq and is a predicted model, not a curated record. Lineage: Eukaryota; Metazoa; Arthropoda; Arachnida; Ixodida; Ixodidae. The transcript is spliced from 5 exons.